UACGGGGGGAGCAAGCGUUGUUCGGAUUUACUGGGCGUAAAGGGCGCGUAGGCGGUCAGCACAAGUCUGGCGUGAAAGCCCAAGGCUCAGCCUUGGAAGUGCGCUCGAAACGGCGAGGCUGGAGUGCCGGAGGGGAGAGUGGAAUUCCCGGUGUAGCGGUGAAAUGCGUAGAGAUCGGGAGGAAUACCGGUGGCGAAAGCGACUCUCUGGACGGCAACUGACGCUGAGGCACGAAAGCGUGGGGAGCGAACAGG
Molecule: ribosomal RNA, 254 nt
Filed under: uncultured bacterium
Lineage: Bacteria
Description: partial 16S ribosomal RNA
Rfam family: Bacterial small subunit ribosomal RNA
Source: RNAcentral